GAUAAAGAAAGGAAUUAAACCAAUGUUGAUAGGACUACAGCCUACCGCCUUUCACUCGGCCACUUUACC
Molecule: transfer RNA, 69 nt
Filed under: Anolis confusus
Lineage: Eukaryota; Metazoa; Chordata; Lepidosauria; Squamata; Anolidae
Description: tRNA-Tyr
Source: RNAcentral